GUUUAUAUGCUGAGACGAACUUCAAAGAAACUUUUUUGGCAACAGUUUGCAAGAGGUCUAUAUUGAGAUGCAUUUCUUUGGCGCAAUACUAGACAACAUUGGUAGUUGAAGUUUUUAGAAUAAAAAAUAUAUUUCACUAACUUUGUAUACAUUUCUUGUUUAAUAUUUGGUGAUAAUAGAAUUUGAUUGUAGUAUAAA
Humulus lupulus (European hop) is the source of this 198-nucleotide long non-coding RNA. RefSeq lists it as uncharacterized. The record is from RefSeq and is a predicted model, not a curated record. Lineage: Eukaryota; Viridiplantae; Streptophyta; Magnoliopsida; Rosales; Cannabaceae. The transcript is spliced from 2 exons.